This 253-nucleotide ribosomal RNA is filed under the name uncultured bacterium. Its description in RNAcentral is "partial 16S ribosomal RNA". It matches the Rfam family "Bacterial small subunit ribosomal RNA", at positions 524 to 776 of the family's 1533-position model. The record is from RNAcentral.
UACGUAGGUGGCAAGCGUUGUCCGGAAUUAUUGGGCGUAAAGCGCGCGCAGGCGGUCCUUUAAGUCUGAUGUGAAAUCCCGUGGCUUAACCACGGGCGGUCAUUGGAAACUGGGGGACUUGAGUGCAGAAGAGAAGAGCGGAAUUCCACGUGUAGCGGUGAAAUGCGUAGAGAUGUGGAGGAACACCAGUGGCGAAGGCGGCUCUUUGGUCUGUAACUGACGCUGAGGAGCGAAAGCGUGGGGAGCGAACAGG